This is a non-coding RNA of Apaloderma vittatum (bar-tailed trogon), 73 nucleotides long. Lineage: Eukaryota; Metazoa; Chordata; Aves; Trogoniformes; Trogonidae. The record is from Rfam.
GGACUACUAGCUCAGUCAGUUGAGCGUAGCGCUAACAACGCUAAGGUGGCGGGUUCGAUUCCCGUUCGGUCCC